This 441-nucleotide long non-coding RNA is filed under the name Homo sapiens (human). RNAcentral's name for it is "LNC_000142". Lineage: Eukaryota; Metazoa; Chordata; Mammalia; Primates; Hominidae. The record is from RNAcentral.
ACUGCUCUAUGAAAAGCAAUGUUAUACUCUGGGAGUUGAACACAAGCCUCACAAAGGAGUUUCUGAGAAUGCUUCUGUUUACUUUUUACGUGAGGAUAUUCCCGUUUCCAAAGAAGUCUUCACAGAGUUCCACCUAUCCAUUUGCAGAUGCUAGCAAAAGAGAGUUUCAAAACUGCUCCAUCAAAAGGAAUGUUCAACUCUGUGAGUUGCAUGCAAUCAUCACAGAGAAGUUUCUGAGAAGGCUUCUGUCUAGAUUUUAUGUGAAGAUAUGGCCGUUUCGAACGAAGGCCACAAAGUGCUCCCAAUAUCCACUUGCAGGUCCUCCAAAAAGAGUGUUUCAAACGUGAACUACCAAAGGAAGGCUCAACUCUGGACUUUGAAUGCCAACGUCAGAAGGAUGUUUCUGCGAAAGCUUCUGUUUAGUUAGGUGACGUUAUCCCG